UGAGCUGGCCGGAUAGUCGCGGUAUUACCGAGGAACGUCCGGACUCCAUAGGACACGGUGGUGGUUAACAGCCACCCGGGGCGACUCGCGGGAUAGUGCCACAGAAAAUAGACCGCCUCCACAUACGUGGAGGUAAGGGUGAAACGGUGGUGUAAGAGACCACCAGCAACUUGGGUGACCGAGUUGGCUUGGAAAACCCCACCGGGAGCAAGACCAAGUAGCGUGCGGGGCUGUCCGUCCAUUCACACGCGGGUAGGUUGCUAGAGAUUGUGAGUAAUCACAGUCCAAGAUAGAUGGCUAUCGUGGGCUCCUGUUGGAGCUCGUACAGAAUCCGGCGUAUAGGCCAGCUCAUCCA
This 355-nucleotide RNase P RNA is filed under the name Actinomycetaceae bacterium. Its description in RNAcentral is "RNase P RNA component class A". It matches the Rfam family "Bacterial RNase P class A". From Rfam's summary of the family: Ribonuclease P (RNase P) is a ubiquitous endoribonuclease, found in archaea, bacteria and eukarya as well as chloroplasts and mitochondria. Lineage: Bacteria; Bacillati; Actinomycetota; Actinomycetes; Actinomycetales; Actinomycetaceae. The record is from RNAcentral.